Long non-coding RNA from Gopherus flavomarginatus (Mexican gopher tortoise), 737 nucleotides. RefSeq lists it as uncharacterized. The record is from RefSeq and is a predicted model, not a curated record. Lineage: Eukaryota; Metazoa; Chordata; Testudines; Testudinidae. The transcript has 3 exons.
AGCAUCCCUCUCACAUACCUCACAUAACACUGUAGAGUUCAAGAAAGCUAAGACGUCUAGCAAUGGGGUGAGUACUUUUGCUUAAAAUUCUCCCAUGUUAGUGGGAUGCCUUGGUUCCUGCUUGGAAGGGGGGAUCGGUGAGGAAGAAGCACCCCGCAGGACACGGUUCCCGCUUGGAAGGGGGGGUGGGGGACGGACAGAGCACACCGCAGGGCAGGUUUCACGCUUGGAAGGGGGGAUCGGUGAGGAAGAAGCACCCCGCAGGACACGGUUCCCGCUUGGAAGGGGGGGUGGGGGACGGACAGAGCACACCGCAGGGCAGGUUUCCCGCUUGGAAGGGGGGGUGGGGGACGGACAGAGCACACCGCAGGGCAGGUUUCACGCUUGGAAGGGGGGAUCGGUGAGGAAGAAGCACCCCGCAGGACACGGUUCCCGCUUGGAAGGGGGGGUGGGGGACGGACAGAGCACACCGCAGGGCAGGUUUCACGCUUGGAAGGGGGGGUGGGGGACGGACAGAGCACACCGCAGGGCAGGUUUCCAGCUUGGAAGGGGGGAUCGGUGAGGAAGAAGCACACCGCAGGGCAGGUUUCCCGCUUGGAAGGGGGGGUGGGGGACGGACAGAGCACACCGCAGGGCAGGUUUCCCGCUUGGAAGGGGGGAUCGGUGAGGAAGAAGCACCCCGCAGGACACGGUUCCCGCUUGGAAGGGGGGGUGGGGGACAGACAGAGCACACCGCA